This 464-nucleotide ribosomal RNA is filed under the name uncultured bacterium. RNAcentral's name for it is "bacterial SSU rRNA". It matches the Rfam family "Bacterial small subunit ribosomal RNA", at positions 28 to 507 of the family's 1533-position model. The record is from RNAcentral.
GAUGAACGCUGGCGGCGUGCAUAACACAUUCAAGUCGAACGGACAAGGGACUUCGGUCCUGCGUUAGUGGCGAACGGGUGAGUAACGCGUGAGGAACCUGCCUUUCAGUGGGGGACAACAGUUGGAAACGACUGCUAAUACCGCAUAAUGUUAUCGAGCGGCAUCGCUUGAUAACCAAAGCUUUAUGUGCUGAAAGAUGGCCUCGCGUCUGAUUAGAUAGUUGGUGGGGUAACGGCCUACCAAGUCAACGAUCAGUAGCCGGUCUGAGAGGAUGAACGGCCACAUUGGGACUGAGAUACGGCCCAGACUCCUACGGGAGGCAGCAGUGGGGAAUAUUGGGCAAUGGGGGAAACCCUGACCCAGCAACGCCGCGUGAAGGAAGAAGGCCUUCGGGUUGUAAACUUCUUUUACCAGGGACGAAGAACGUGACGGUACCUGGAGAAAAAGCAACGGCUAACUACGUG